RNAcentral lists this unclassified non-coding RNA (21 nucleotides) under Dictyostelium discoideum. The record is from RNAcentral. Lineage: Eukaryota; Evosea; Eumycetozoa; Dictyosteliales; Dictyosteliaceae.
CACAACUUUGUGCAUAGUGUC